This 279-nucleotide long non-coding RNA is filed under the name Carica papaya (papaya). RNAcentral's name for it is "long non-coding RNA (CPAP_LNC009395)". The record is from RNAcentral. Lineage: Eukaryota; Viridiplantae; Streptophyta; Magnoliopsida; Brassicales; Caricaceae.
AAAAUGGGAAGGAAGGGCCUCUAUUUAAAGAAAUUGGGACUCGUUGGAUUUGCACCAAGUGAAAAAAUUUGAUGAAGAGAGAGAAAAGAUGCUUGGCAUGAAAAACAGAGGAGAAAAAUCUCCUCCACCAGUGGUGGCUGCGCGUCGCCCGAGGUGGGCGACGAUACGCUGCCUGAGGCGAUAAUGGCCCACCCGGCACACUAAAAGCUCCCUGCCACGCACGCAGGGGCUAGCCUUCGUGCGCGCAGGCCUACUACGUGCACAAUGUAUGGCAUUUCU